AUGGACUUUGCGAGGGUGGCCCAGCUGGACCCAUCUUUGGCCGCUGCUGUGCGGAAAGAGCUGCGGAUCUUGGGGGAGAGGAUGAGGCAGAAGCACGUGGAAGACCGCAAGAGAUACCAAGGCCUCUUCCAGCCCUCUUCUCAAGGGAAAACCGAGCAGAAAGUGAUGGAAGAGAGCGAAGAGAGAAAGGAAGACCUCCCUGACGAUGUCCACCGGGCAGAGAUGGAUGAAGGGAAGGAAGAUGCCUCCUCAGGGCCAAAGAGAGAAGGUCAAGAGAUGGGUGCGAGGAAUGAAGAAAUGGUGGAAGAAGAGGAAAAUAAUGGAUCCUCAGAAAAUCCUGGUGGAAAGGAUACAGAUGAGGCUUCCCUUCAGAAAGAAAUUAAGAUUGAAAUAGGAAUCGAAGAACCGGAAGAAGAAGGACAAGUGCAGAGUUCUUCUAAAGGUGAUAUCGCCAAUGGUGAAACCUCUGAGAACAAUACUGGCCAAGAAGAAGAAAAUAGAGAAACAGAAGGAUCUCCAAGGAGACAAACAGGUGUCCAUGUUGUUUCUACAGGAAUUGUGAGAUCUCCAGGAAUCUCAACAAACAGUGUAGGAAAGGAGGACAUGGAAGGAUGUUGUGAAGCUGAGAUGGGCUUUGAAGGAGUGACUUCCCACAGAGAGAUGGGAGAUUGUGGAGAAGGAGAAGACCUCAACCUCAACAGCCAUUUUAAGGUUCAAGACAGUGUUGGCAGUGUUGAAGAAGAGACUAAUAAGGAAGGAGCAAGAGAGGAGAGUUCUGAGGAAAGCCAUGGAGGAGAUACUUUCCUUCAGGUCCAGGAUGAAGGUCCAAAGAAGGAAGCAGAGGUAUCAACAGAGCUGAAUUUGAAGGAGGAGGCAACCUGUGGCAAGGAAAAUGAUGGAGAGCCAUGCAACGUUCAUGAUGAGUGUAGAGAAGACACAAAGACUGGCAACCAUUCCCAGUCUGAAGAGGAAAUAUGUGGGUCUGCUCAGUGUGGGGCCAACACAGAAGGCAAUGGGGUGGUAGAUGGAGAUUGUGGGAGAGGAACACAAGAAGGCAUCAUGAGCAUCAGAGUGGAGGACUCCACUGAAGAGAGUGAUGGUGAAGGUGGAGAUGGACAGAAAGAUGGGUCCAGCAUUGGGUCACAAGGAGCGAUACAAGGGUAUGAGACAGAACAAGGAUGCUUUGAAGAAGAGAUGAACGUAAUGGAGGAGAGCUCUGCCUCAGGACAUGAAGGUCUGCAAGCACUUGGGAAGGUCUAA
This 1260-nucleotide long non-coding RNA is filed under the name Anolis carolinensis (green anole). RNAcentral describes it as "lncRNA (ENSACAG00000038696.1)". Lineage: Eukaryota; Metazoa; Chordata; Lepidosauria; Squamata; Anolidae. The record is from RNAcentral.